CUCUCUCUUUCUCUACUCUAUACAACUCUACAUGCAACAACAGUGCGUUGAGAGAUUCCCUGAUUUCGAUCCGGUGUUUUCUGAAGGGGAAAGGAAUGUCUCUUCUUCCCCUUUACUAGGUGCUUGGCUGGCACACGGCGCCUGACGGUAUGGGAGACGGAAGACCUGAGCUCCUCGAAAUGAACGCGUAGCAGAGUUGUAAUUAGAGGUUUCCUGCUCGACGGAGUUCUGGGGAUCUCUAGGUGCUAGGAUGUUUAUGGGGAUUGAUCUUCUUUUCUCUUCGGAUUACUGUUCUCAUCAAGGUCUGACAAUCGUAAUGGAUAUAUUAAUUAAUGGAUUAACCAAGCUCUGAAUUAAAGCAAAAAACAAAAAAAAAAAGGAAA
This 383-nucleotide long non-coding RNA is filed under the name Aplysia californica (California sea hare). RNAcentral describes it as "uncharacterized LOC118479054, transcript variant X2". The record is from RNAcentral. Lineage: Eukaryota; Metazoa; Mollusca; Gastropoda; Aplysiida; Aplysiidae.